AAGCCUACGAGACGCAGCAGUGAGGAAUAUUGGUCAAUGGGCGGGAGCCUGAACCAGCCAAGUCGCGUGAAGGAAGAAGGUACUUAGUAUUGUAAACUUCUUUUGUCGGGGAACAAAGGCGGAGACGCGUCUCCGGAUGAGUGUACCCGAAGAAAAAGCAUCGGCUAACUCCGUGCCAGCAGCCGCGGUAAUACGGAGGAUGCGAGCGUUAUCCGGAUUUAUUGGGUUUAAAGGGUGCGCAGGCGGGGGAUCAAGUCAGGGGGAAAAUGUCGGGGCUCAACCCCGGCCGG
RNAcentral lists this ribosomal RNA (290 nucleotides) under uncultured bacterium. RNAcentral's name for it is "partial 16S ribosomal RNA". It matches the Rfam family "Bacterial small subunit ribosomal RNA", at positions 334 to 622 of the family's 1533-position model. The record is from RNAcentral.